UGGGGGAUAUUGCGCAAUGGGGGCAACCCUGACGCAGCAACGCCGCGUGAAGGAUGAAGGUUUUCGGAUUGUAAACUUCUUUUAUUAAGGACGAAACUUGACGGUACUUAAUGAAUAAGCUCCGGCUAACUACGUGCCAGCAGCCGCGGUAAUACGUAGGGAGCAAGCGUUGUCCGGAUUUACUGGGUGUAAAGGGUGCGUAGGCGGCUUUGCAAGUCAGAUGUGAAAUCUAUGGGCUCAACCCAUAAACUGCAUUUGAAACUGUAGAGCUUGAGUGAAGUAGAGGCAGGCGGAAUUCCCCGUGUAGCGGUGAAAUGCGUAGAGAUGGGGAGGAACACCAGUGGCGAAGGCGGCCUGCUGGGCUUUAACUGACGCUGAGGCACGAAAGCGUGGGUAGCAAACAGGAUUAGAUACCCUGGUAGUCCACGCUGUAAACGAUGAUUACUAGGUGUGGGGGGUCUGACCCCUUCCGUGCCGGAGUUAACACAAUAAGUAAUCCACCUGGGGAGUACGGCCGCAAGGUUGAAACUCAAAGGAAUUGACGGGGGCCCGCACAAGCAGUGGAGUAUGUGGUUUAAUUCGAAGCAACGCGAAGAACCUUACCAGGUCUUGACAUCCAACUAACGAAGUAGAGAUACAUUAGGUGCCCUUCGGGGAAAGUUGAGACAGGUGGUGCAUGGUUGUCGUCAGCUCGUGUCGUGAGAUGUUGGGUUAAGUCCCGCAACGAGCGCAACCCUUGCUAUUAGUUGCUACGCAAGAGCACUCUAAUAGGACUGCCGUUGACAAAACGGAGGAAGGUGGGGACGACGUCAAAUCAUCAUGCCCCUUAUGACCUGGGCUACACACGUACUACAAUGGAUGUUAACAGAGGGAAGCAAGACAGCGAUGUGGAGCAAACCCCUAAAAACAUUCUCAGUUCAGAUUGCAGGCUGCAACCCGCCUGCAUGAAGAUGGAAUUGCUAGUAAUCGCGGAUCAGCAUGUCGCGGUGAAUACGUUCCC
This 1000-nucleotide ribosomal RNA is filed under the name uncultured organism. RNAcentral's name for it is "bacterial SSU rRNA". It matches the Rfam family "Bacterial small subunit ribosomal RNA", at positions 355 to 1375 of the family's 1533-position model. The record is from RNAcentral.